Molecule: long non-coding RNA, 405 nt
Filed under: Physcomitrium patens
Lineage: Eukaryota; Viridiplantae; Streptophyta; Bryopsida; Funariales; Funariaceae
Description: long non-coding RNA (PPAT_LNC015012)
Source: RNAcentral
GAAUCCCGGAAUCGCCAAUCCCAGAAUGCGGAACAGCAGGCACACCGUCGACUCCGAGAACUGAUUGCCGUACAGGAGAGUGAUCAAGAACAAGCCUUGGACAAUCUCCCACACUGCGUUCAGGUGCACAAAUAUUGUCCACAGGAUGCUGUAGUUCCGGUUGGGUUCUUCCUUAACAAUGAUUCCCUUGUACACGCUGUUGAAAUAGUUACAGUCGCCGAUGUGCUUGAAACCCAUGACGUGGUCGUCGAACGGGACUCGAGGGAUCACAUCGUUGCAGUAGACGACGCGGAAGAAUUUGCCCUUGAGCUUGGAGUUCGCGUAGUUGACGAAGUCCUGGUCGCCGACACGAGGCUGGCCGAAGGUGUAGACGGCUCCGAUCUUGGAGGCAAUCUCGGUCUGGCC